RNAcentral lists this ribosomal RNA (795 nucleotides) under uncultured bacterium. RNAcentral describes it as "bacterial SSU rRNA". It matches the Rfam family "Bacterial small subunit ribosomal RNA", at positions 8 to 796 of the family's 1533-position model. The record is from RNAcentral.
AGAGUUUGAUCAUGGCUCAGAUUGAACGCUGGCGGCAUGCUUUACACAUGCAAGUCGAACGGUAACGCGGGGGCAACCCUGGCGACGAGUGGCGAACGGGUGAGUAAUACAUCGGAACGUGUCCUGAGGUGGGGGAUAACCUAUCGAAAGGUAGGCUAAUACCGCAUACGCUCGGGAGAGGAAAGCGGGGGAUCGGUAACGACCUCGCGUCGCAGGAGCGGCCGAUGUCCGAUUAGCUAGUUGGUGGGGUAAAGGCUUACCAAGGCGACGAUCGGUAGCUGGUCUGAGAGGAUGAUCAGCCACACUGGGACUGAGACACGGCCCAGACUCCUACGGGAGGCAGCAGUGGGGAAUUUUGGACAAUGGGGGCAACCCUGAUCCAGCCAUGCCGCGUGAGUGAAGAAGGCCUUCGGGUUGUAAAGCUCUUUCGGUGGGAACGAAACGGUUACGGCUAAUACCCGUGACUACUGACGGUACUCACAGAAGAAGCACCGGCUAACUACGUGCCAGCAGCCGCGGUAAUACGUAGGGUGCGAGCGUUAAUCGGAAUUACUGGGCGUAAAGCGUGCGCAGGCGGUUAUUUAAGUCAGGUGUGAAAGCCCUGGGCUUAACCUAGGAAUGGCGCUUGAGACUGGAUAGCUUGGAGUGUGGCAGAGGGAGGUGGAAUUCCCGUGUAGCAGUGAAAUGCGUAGAGAUGUGGAGGAACACCGAUGGCGAAGGCAGCCUCCUGGGCCAGCACUGACGCUCAUGCACGAAAGCGUGGGGAGCAAACAGGAUUAGAUACCCUAGUAGUCC